GAGGAAAAGAAACUAACAAGGAUUCCCUUAGUAGCGGCGAGCGAACAGGGAGAAGCCCAGCGCUGAAUCCUCCGUGCAUUGUACGGCAGGAAAUGUAGCGUUUAGGAGUGUCUGUUAACACGGCGUUUCGCACUUCGCUCAAGUCCAACUUGAACGGGGCCACACAGAGGGUGAUAUGCCCGUGUAGCAGGUGCGUGCGCCGUGUAGGCAUCUCCUCAGAGUCGGUUUGCUUGAGAGUGCAGACCUAAGUGGGUGGUAAACUCCAUCUAAGGCUAAAUAUGACCACGAGACCGAUAGCACACAAGUACCGUGAGGGAAAGGUGAAAAGAACUUUGAAGAGAGAGUUCAAGAGUACGUGAAACUGAGCUGAUGAAAGCGGACAGAAUCGAAAAGUGCGAACAGAGUUGACUCACGCUGACCUCCGAGGCAGGCUGGGUCGGGGACGGUGCAACAGCGGCUCCUCGCGGGUCCUUUGCGUCGCUCCUUCUCAGCCCUGUCCGAGGGGGGACGCUGCACUUCUGCUUAGUAGCACGUCGCGGCUCGUUGGGAGCCGUUCUAAGGCCUGCGGUGGAGCCUUCACCUUGUGUGUUGACCCGCAGUGUCCCGAUCGGCACCCGACGGUGUUGUACAGGCGGGGCCUCUAGUCUGAUCCCAGUAUACAUGAGGAGCAUCAGACCGGUCCCGCCCGUCCGCGGCGCUUCUGCUUUCGAUCCCUGUCCGACCCGUCUUGAAACACGGACCAAGGAGUCUAACAUGUGCGCGAGUCAUUGGGCUCACGAAACCUAAAGGCGAAAUGAAAGUAAAGGGCGAGUUUACUCGUCUCUAGGGGUGAUGGCCGCGCUAACCAUGCCGACCCGCAACCCCGGGGCGUCUCAUUCUCUUUGAGAAGAGGUGCACCUUGAGCGCACACGUUGGUACCCGAAAGAUGGUGAACUAUGCCUGGCCAGGGUGAAGUCAGGGGAAACCCUGAUGGAAGCCCGUAGCGAUUCUGACGUGCAAAUCGAUCGUCAGAGCUGGGUAUAGGGGCGAAAGACUAAUCGAACCAUCUAGUAGCUGGUUCCCUCUGAAGUUUCCCUCAGGAUAGCUGGCAUUCGAGAUAAAGUCUCAUCCGGUAAAGCGAAUGAUUAGAGGCCUUGGGGUCGAAACGACCUCAACCUAUUCUCAAACUUUAAAUGGGUGAGAACUCUGGCUUACUUAACUGAAGCCACGAGUUCCAUCGGAUUUAUGAGUGCCAAGUGGGCCAAUUUUGGUAAGCAGAACUGGCGCUGUGGGAUGAACCAAACGCGGAGUUAAAGCGCCUAAGUCGACGCUGAUGGGAAACCAGAAAAGGCGUUGGUUGCUGAAGACAGCAGGACGGUGGCCAUGGAAGUUGGAAUCCGCUAAGGAGUGUGUAACAACUCACCUGCCGAAGCAACUAGCCCUGAAAAUGGAUGGCGCUGAAGCGUCGCGCUUAUACUCCGCCGUCAGUGCAGAUGGCCCUCCGGGGUCUUGAAGCAUUGAUGAGUAAGAGGGUCGCGUGGGUGUGCGCAGAAGGGUCUGGGCGUGAGCCUGCCUGGAGCCGCCCACGGUGCAGAUCUUGGUGGUAGUAGCAAAUACUCUGGAGAGUCCUUGGAGGACCGAAGUGGAGAAGGGCUCCGGGACAACAGUUGUUGUUCCCGAGUGAGUCGAUCCUAAGCCUAAAGAGAAAUCUUUAGUAUGGUCCAGCCUCUCGGCUGCCAUCGGGCGAAAGGGAAUCCGGUAACCAUUCCGGAACCCGGGUUCGGAACCGUAUUUCAGGUCCUCGUACUUGUCACGGCAACGUGAAUUGCCCCAGAGACGCCCUCGGGUGCCGUCAGGAGAGUUUUCUUUUCUCUUUGAGCUCGCGUACUCCAUGGAAUUCUCUUGCAGAGAGAUAUGGAGCGGCUAUGCGAAGAGCGCCCCACUUGCUGGGGUGUUGGCGCUUACUCCUGGGACCUUGAAAAUCUGGGGUGAGGGCCACGAGUGCAUCCGUCCCGGAUCGUACCCAUAUCCGCAUCAGGUCUCCAAGGUCA
Molecule: ribosomal RNA, 2030 nt
Filed under: Microcephalothrips abdominalis
Lineage: Eukaryota; Metazoa; Arthropoda; Insecta; Thysanoptera; Thripidae
Description: eukaryotic LSU rRNA
Rfam family: Eukaryotic large subunit ribosomal RNA
Source: RNAcentral